GAUGAAGAACGUAGUGAAAUGCGAUAAGUAAUGUGAAUUGCAGAAUUCAGUGAAUCAUCGAGUUUUUGAACGCAUAUUGCGCCCUCUGGUAUUCCGGGGGGCAUGCCUGUUCGAGCGUCAUUAAAUAACCCUCAAGCAUAGCUUGGUGUUGGGCUUUUUUACGUCCUUGACUGGGAUGGGCCUAAAAAUUAGUGGCGAUGGCUUUUUUACUUUCAAGCGUAGUAAAUCUCGUCUUGCUAAAGAGGAAAAAGAUUUUUUUUCUGCCAAAAAUUUUAACAUUUAAAGUUGACCUCGGAUCAGGUAGGAUCACCCGCUGAACUUAAGCAUAUCAAUAAGCGGAGGA
This 343-nucleotide unclassified non-coding RNA is filed under the name soil metagenome. RNAcentral's name for it is "partial contains 5.8S ribosomal RNA, internal transcribed spacer 2, and large subunit ribosomal RNA". The stretch from base 1 to 120 matches the Rfam family "5.8S ribosomal RNA", at positions 35 to 154 of the family's 154-position model. The record is from RNAcentral.